This 1478-nucleotide ribosomal RNA is filed under the name metagenome. RNAcentral's name for it is "bacterial SSU rRNA". It matches the Rfam family "Bacterial small subunit ribosomal RNA". The record is from RNAcentral.
AGAGUUUGAUCCUGGCUCAGGACGAACGCUAGCGGGGGGCUUAACACAUGCAAGUCGUGCGUGAAGUCUUUCUUCGGAUAGGUGGAAAGCGGCGAACGGGUGAGUAACACGUGGGCAAUCUGCCCUCAGGUGGGGAAUAACAUUCCGAAAGGGGUGCUAAUACCGCAUAACAUUUAACUUUCUCCUGAAAGUUAAAUCAAAGCCUUCGGGCGCCUGGGGAUGAGCCUGCGCCCCAUUAGCUUGUUGGUAAGGUAACGGCUUACCAAGGCUACGAUGGGUAGCUGGUCUGAGAGGAUGAUCAGCCACACUGGGACUGAGAUACGGCCCAGACUCCUACGGGAGGCAGCAGUGAGGAAUAUUGCACAAUGGACGCAAGUCUGAUGCAGCCACCCCGCGUGCGGGAUGAAGCCCUUGCGGGUGUAAACCGCUUUCAGAAGGGACGAACCCCGGAGUUUUGCUCCGGUUGACGGUACCUUCAGAAGAAGCUCCGGCUAACUCCGUGCCAGCAGCCGCGGUAAUACGGGGGGAGCAAGCGUUGUCCGGAUUCACUGGGCGUAAAGCGCGUGUAGGUGGGAUCGCAAGUCUAAGGUUAAAUGUCGGGGCAUAACCCCGUGCCUGCCUUGGAAACUGCGGUUCUUGAGUAUGGUAGAGGGAAGUGGAAUUCCUGGUGUAGCGGUGGAAUGCGUAGAUAUCAGGAAGAACACCGGUGGCGAAGGCGACUUCCUGGCCCAUUACUGACACUCAGACGCGAAAGCGUGGGUAGCAAACAGGAUUAGAUACCCUGGUAGUCCACGCCCUAAACGAUGAACACUAGGUGUUGGAAGAUUCGACCCUUUCAGUGCCGCAGCUAACGCAUUAAGUGUUCCGCCUGGGGAGUACGAUCGCAAGGUUGAAACUCAAAGGAAUUGACGGGGGCCCGCACAAGCGGUGGAGCAUGUGGUUUAAUUCGAUGCAACGCGAAGAACCUUACCUGGGCUUGAACUGUGGUGGAAAACACCUGAAAGGGUGUCCUCCUUCGGGACCGCUACAGAGGUGCUGCAUGGCUGUCGUCAGCUCGUGUCGUGAGAUGUUGGGUUAAGUCCUGCAACGAGCGCAACCCUUGCCGUUAGUUGCCAUCAGGUCAAGCUGGGCACUCUAACGGGACUGCCGGCGUUAAGCUGGAGGAAGGCGGGGAUGACGUCAAGUCCUCAUGGCCCUUACGUCCAGGGCUACACACGUGCUACAAUGGAUGGUACAGUAGGUCGCAAUACCGCAAGGUGGAGCCAAUCCGAAAAAACCAUCCUCAGUUCGGAUUGCACUCUGCAACUCGAGUGCAUGAAGCCGGAAUCGCUAGUAAUCGCGGAUCAGCACGCCGCGGUGAAUACGUUCCCGGGCCUUGUACACACCGCCCGUCACACCAUGGAAGUCGGGAGUACCCGAAGUCGCAUAACCUGCGCCGAAGGUAAGCUUGAUGACUAGGGUGAAGUCGAAACAAGGUA